UAGUUUGGAUUUACUUUCAGUAAUAGGCUAAG
RNAcentral lists this non-coding RNA (32 nucleotides) under Rattus norvegicus (Norway rat). Lineage: Eukaryota; Metazoa; Chordata; Mammalia; Rodentia; Muridae. The record is from RNAcentral.